This 253-nucleotide ribosomal RNA is filed under the name uncultured bacterium. RNAcentral's name for it is "partial 16S ribosomal RNA". It matches the Rfam family "Bacterial small subunit ribosomal RNA", at positions 524 to 776 of the family's 1533-position model. The record is from RNAcentral.
UACGAAGGUCCCGAGCGUUAUCCGGAUUUAUUGGGUUUAAAGGGUGCGUAGGCGGGUUAUUAAGUCAGUGGUGAAAGCCUACAGCUUAACUGUAGAAUUGCCAUUGAUACUGAUGAUCUUGAGUAUGAUUGAGGUGGGCGGAAUGUGUCAUGUAGCGGUGAAAUGCUUAGAUAUGACACAGAACACCGAUUGCGAAGGCAGCUCACUAAGUCAUAACGGACGCUGAUGCACGAAAGCGUGGGGAGCAAACAGG